UUCGGCAUUGGGUGAUUGGGAGCCCAGCGGCUGUUGAGCCGCCCGUCCUGGUUCGAGUCCAGGUGCCGAAGCCA
Molecule: transfer RNA, 74 nt
Filed under: Micromonospora rhizosphaerae
Lineage: Bacteria; Bacillati; Actinomycetota; Actinomycetes; Micromonosporales; Micromonosporaceae
Description: tRNA_Pseudo_???
Source: RNAcentral